CUCCUCCCCGGGAACGCCAGGGCGUGUGCGCGGCAUGUGGGCGCCUUGGCCGGGGGCUUCCUCUCCUGCGCUCCGCUCGGCUUCUGGUGGUGCCUUCAUCCAGGGUCCAGGAUGACGAUCCGACACCAAGGCCAACAGUACAGGCCCAGGAUGGCAUUUCUGCAGAAGGUUUGCAAGCUGCCCGCUGGUCUUGAAGAGUCAGCCGUGCUUGGGCGGAAAGUCGGAGGGUGAAGAGCUUCCCAUGAGCUCAGGCCGGACUGUUCCGAGGCUGUUCUACGCCCUUUCCCCCAGCGGUUCCCACCAACUCCGGUGAUCCACAGGCUGACCUGCACGUGAAUGCCCAAUGUGUUGCCCUUCUUCCUUCCCCUGGCUCCCUAACCCAGCUACCUAUUGCUGCUUCCCGAGAUCAGCCCUCUUACCAACACUAUGAGGUCCCAUUAUUUCCCCCAAUUUUACACGUAAGGGAACGGGUUGUUGAGGACCAGGACUGGAAGAACUGCUGCAAUUUGGUGAAACUGGUCUCAGUAGGACAGCAAAAACAUGAAGUGUGCUGCCUGCAGUGGGCCGGAGUCUCCAAUCCUGUGUGAGGCACCCCAAGUCGAGAGAGCCUUGAGGCUGAGACUGAAGGGAUUUCUGCCCAAGAAGUGCAGAAGGGAAGCCGCAGGGGGUGGGGGUGGCGUGUGUCAGAGCAGAGGCCAGAGCGAGUCUGGUGUUGGAGGCAGGUUGUUUGAUAUUGCUGGAUUUAUUAUACCAGGAGAGUGUGAGGCUGGACAGGGAGGCCACAACGGAUCAUACCCAUCUCCUGUGCCUUUCAGAGGUGGCCUGAUUUCCCCCAGAAGAAGCCACUGAGGAGUUUGGAGCAGAUCAGGAAAGCAGGUGCUGGAAGGCAGGACCAAUGGUGGCGGCGGCCUGGAUCUCAGAGUCAGGACCUUGACAGAAUGCCCUGGACCAUGGCCCACUGGAAUUUGCAUUUGGACUGAAGAGUCAGUAAAAGACGCAGAGCCAGAGAUGGGGAGCAACGUGUAAAGCCACGGGGUGCUGUGAUUACAGACUCAAGGGCCCUUGUAACAUGACAAGUGGUAUAGUCGAUGGCAUAGGCAAGGGCCAUCAGAGACUCCAGCUCCCUACAAAUUAAUCCAAAUUGGAGGGACAAAACUCAGGGGGAGGGAGGAAGGCAAGAUGAAUUCAGUGUCACUUUUUUUAAAUCACUUUCCCCAAAGUCAUCAUUUUAUGUGUAUAUCCAGAGACAUGCCUAUCUUGGAGAUAUUUUGAGAUUGGUUCCAGACUACUGUAAUAAGGCAAACAUGGCAAUAAAGCGAGUCAAGUGAAUUUUUUGGUUCCCCGGUGUCUGUAAAAGUUAUGUUUACCCUAUACUGUGGCCUUGUAAAUGUGCAAGAGCAUUAUGCUUGCACACAAUGUAUGUAUCUUAAUUAAAAAUACUUUAUUUUAAAAAGACUUUAUGGC
Enhydra lutris kenyoni (northern sea otter) is the source of this 1464-nucleotide long non-coding RNA. RefSeq lists it as uncharacterized. The record is from RefSeq and is a predicted model, not a curated record. NCBI's taxonomy places the organism in Eukaryota, Metazoa, Chordata, Mammalia, Carnivora, Mustelidae. The transcript has 4 exons.